Long non-coding RNA from Cyprinus carpio (common carp), 1582 nucleotides. RefSeq lists it as uncharacterized. The record is from RefSeq and is a predicted model, not a curated record. Lineage: Eukaryota; Metazoa; Chordata; Actinopteri; Cypriniformes; Cyprinidae. The transcript is spliced from 6 exons.
UACAGAAGCAAGAUGUUAAAAAAAUAGGGUCCACCGUAAUAAUACAACCAGUAAAUACAAUUUUAAAAAAAAGCAAAUAUCAGCAGUAAAAGACAAUAAAAUUUAUAGUAUUUUUUAUUUUAAAAUUCAGAUACUGAUAUACAGAUUAAAAGUUAGGCCUGCAGUAUAUCAUUGUUAACCUUCUGAUAAAAAAAUCAACAGCAAAAGAAGAUGUUUAAAAUAAAGUUCAUGGUUGUGAAUAAAAUUGAUUUCAAUAAUCUUUUUUAAUUAUUAUUUUAAAACAACUUUAUGUUAUGUUUCACGCCAUAUUACCAGACCACCUUAAGUGGGUCCGCCUUAAAUUUUGAGUUUGUGUGAUCGCUGUUGAUUGGUUGCUGGUAAACUGUGUACAGACGUUUUAUGUUCGAAUUGCAGAGAAAAAAAUGUUUUCUGGUAGCAACAUUGUGCAGUAUGAGCGAACCAUUUCACCAAAAAAAAGGGGAAGCAAGGCAAGACGUGACUUCUGAUCAAACCUCCUCCUAAAGAAAGAAAGAGCGACAUCACAUUGCGGGAUGACGUCACCUGAAAAUGACGCUGCUGAGCUGUGUGCCGCGCGCUUUUUUUUUUCUUGCAGGAGACUUGUUGGCUUCGCUAACGGACGUAGUUUUGAACUCGUAUUAGCGCCAUUUAUAGCUGCUUGGACCAGCAUCUUCGGAAUUUGUAGACAUCCUGGCAACUUACAAUUAAUUCGAGGUGAGGUUUAAGGGUGGUGACACAGCUAAGACCCGAGAGUCUCUUUCAAGACACUGAAUUUGAGCAGAAACCAUAAGGAUACUCAAAGGACCCUGUGACUCUCAGGAAAUGCAUCAAAUGAGAGUGACAGGUGAAACCGUUUCAAGACAAUGGCAGGAAAAGCAUGCUGAAGAUUGAACCAAACCUUGGCUGGAAAUAUUUGAAGGGAUCUAGCCAGUCCACAAUGAAAGCUUCAUUGCCCCCCUGUGAGUCUUCUGGCAGAAAUGAUGGCGCAUGUAUUCUUUGGUUUUCCUAAACAUCACAUCCUGUUUAUACGAGGCUCUUCAAUUAAGUCUGCACCCAAAGAUUCAAUAAGAGAGGGUAUCCUGCCAGUCCAAAGUGAACUCCUGAUGGACAUUGAAGUACUCCUGCAGAGCUUGUAUCUUCGACACCAUGCGCAUUAGAAACUCCACUGAGUGCUUUCCUUCACCAAGGCAGGACCCAGUGACUCAUUACUGUUGAUCGGUCAGGGGCAGGUCAUUUUUUUGUUUCAUGUUUAUUCAUUUCUCCAUGGAUUACCAGCCAUAUAUAUAGACACAUGCUGUAUUCUCAAGAUCUAUGCUGUUUGGUAGGAAUAGAGAAAAUGAUAUGUUUAGUCUGUUUUCAAAUGGUAUGUCAAAUUUUCUCAUUGUUUAUCAGAAAUAUUCACUACCUUGGUUAUAUAUGAGCAUCUUUAGAUUUUUCUAUAUUUAGCGGUUGCAAAUGUAAAAUGUACGGUAAACUAUUUAUGUUCCUCAUAUUGUACUGUAUUUUUAGCAGAAAAAUACCGGCAGCUGUGGUUGCCAGGAAUUUACCGUAAAAUGUAUCUGGU